Non-coding RNA from Arachis ipaensis, 644 nucleotides. Lineage: Eukaryota; Viridiplantae; Streptophyta; Magnoliopsida; Fabales; Fabaceae. The record is from RefSeq and is a predicted model, not a curated record.
CGAAGCCUGGAAGCUAUUUUCUUGGAAUAUCAUAUAAUGGAAUUGACAACAUUACUUUGUUGUCCUUUAUGAACUUAUCAAAUAUAAAAUGUGUGGCAGGACAUUAUUGCAUUUAUUAAGGCUGGUGGUUUUCACUAAUUUUAGGAUGGAAGUUUCAAAGCUCAACCAACUAGAGAGUGUGUAACAAAAAUCUUAACAAGAUUUUAGGAGAAGAUCUAAGAGCCAGAUUAGAAUUGUUGUUGGAGCUUCUCGGAUCUACAAAGUACAAACCUUAAACUAAUUGAUCUACAGGAAAAAUAUUCUAUUCUUAUUGAGUUUAUUUAGUCAAGUCAGAUGUAUUUUAAGCAAGGUUUUAUGGUGGUUAUAUAAGGAUUUACAAUGCAGGAAAGGGAAGCCAAAGAUAUAGUGGUUCCAGACAUCAAAUGGGAUGUAUUUGAAUUGAUGAAGAUGUGCAAUUUCUACAAUUUAUAUAUGAUGCAAUUUUAUUCGACAAUGAUGUGCUGCUGUGUUUAGCAAAUGCUAAUAUUCUGAAACACUAAAUUGAUCUUUUUAUUGGUGCUUUUCUGAGCAGUUUUUAAUUUAAAAUAGACAAAAGAAAAUGGAAAAUAAAUGAUGACAUUGUAUAGAUGUGUUGAAUGCUGAAA